This 1022-nucleotide long non-coding RNA is filed under the name Cyanistes caeruleus (blue tit). RNAcentral describes it as "lncRNA (ENSCCEG00000013984.1)". The record is from RNAcentral. Lineage: Eukaryota; Metazoa; Chordata; Aves; Passeriformes; Paridae.
CAAUAGGCUACACUCUUGACUUCCAAACUCUCUUAUGAGGCCUGUUGAUUCUCUGAUUUGCCAUAUUUCUUUUCCUUUUCUUUACUUUGUCCUAGAAAUUUCUACGACUGAUAGGCCUGUUUGGAGCUUCCUACCAGUUUUACAUUGGUGAGAGUCCACUGACUUUCAGGUAGCUUCUCAUACUUUUCUGGAGUGUCAGAACACUAGCAACUUGUAUUAUGUGGAAACUGUUUUCUCCAACCAUUUCCUCUGUGCCUGCAUUAUUUACCUUCUCAUUUCUGUUUCAUUGUCAUUUCAAAAAUCAAUUGCCAGUUUCCUAAUAGGUAAACAGUUAAUCUCAGGUUGGCAGGCCUUGAAUCAACACAUUUCGGGCUCUAAAACACUCAGAUAGUCUGCUGAAGACUGGCUGGUUGUAUUUAUUUGCUGACUGGCAGUUAAAUAUUUAAUUGUUGGAUUCACUAACUGUUAACCGUAUCACACAAAAAUGUUGACUAGAUCUUAAUUUUCACAUCAAUUUGCUUUUUGUUUUCAUCUGUAUUCUGUUUCUUAAGAUUUUGAAGCCUCAGAUGUAUCAAAUCAAAAGCAGCUAUAGAAUUCUGGCAUCUUUUAAAGAAGUCAGACAGUUCUUAGUUAUAUAGUUGUGGUUCAGCCACAGACACCAAGCCCCACAUAGCCCCCUGUUGACUUCUCCAUCACUGGGAUUUGGGACACAGCUAGAAAGGUAAAAAAAUACCCUGUGGGUCAGGAUAAAGAUGAUUUAAUAGGGAAAGGAAAAGUAGCUCACACAAGCAAAACAAGACAAUUAAUACACCACUUCCCACAGCAGGCAGACACUGAGCCUGCUCCAGGAAAGCAAGACUCAUGUCACACGUGAAACAGUAACUUAGGAAGACAAAUGGCAUCACUCCAAACAUCCCCCCACAAGAAGAAGGGACCAUCUGCAGUGCAAGAAUGGGGAGGAGGAGGAGGAGAAGAAAAGACUUUAAUGACAGACACAGAAGAGGCGAGACAGGACAGGACAG